CAGUCGCCGCGGUAAUACAGAGGUCCCGAGCGUUGUUCGGAUUCACUGGGCGUAAAGGGUGUGUAGGAGGCUUGGUAAGUCAGGUGUGAAAUCCCGCAGCUCAACUGCGGAACUGCAUUCGAUACUGCCGAGCUAGAGGAUCGGAGGGGGAAGCGGAAUUCUUGGUGUAGCGGUGAAAUGCGUAGAUAUCAAGAGGAACACCGGUGGCGAAGGCGGCUUCCUGGAAGAUACAUGACUCUGAAACACGAAAGCUAGGGGAGCGAAUGGGAUUAGAUACCCCAGUAGUCCCUGUCUCUUAUAC
This 301-nucleotide ribosomal RNA is filed under the name uncultured bacterium. Its description in RNAcentral is "partial 16S ribosomal RNA". It matches the Rfam family "Bacterial small subunit ribosomal RNA", at positions 509 to 807 of the family's 1533-position model. The record is from RNAcentral.